UACGUAGGGUGCAAGCGUUAAUCGGAAUUACUGGGCGUAAAGCGUGCGCAGGCGGUGAUGUAAGACAGUUGUGAAAUCCCCGGGCUCAACCUGGGGACUGCAUCUGUGACUGCAUCGCUGGAGUGCGGCAGAGGGGGAUGGAAUUCCGCGUGUAGCAGUGAAAUGCGUAGAUAUGCGGAGGAACACCGAUGGCGAAGGCAAUCCCCUGGGCCUGCACUGACGCUCAUGCACGAAAGCGUGGGGAGCAAACAGG
This 253-nucleotide ribosomal RNA is filed under the name uncultured bacterium. RNAcentral's name for it is "partial 16S ribosomal RNA". It matches the Rfam family "Bacterial small subunit ribosomal RNA", at positions 524 to 776 of the family's 1533-position model. The record is from RNAcentral.